GACGAACGCUGGCGGCGUGCUUAACACAUGCAAGUCGAGCGGUAAGGCCCUUUUGGGGGUACACGAGCGGCGAACGGGUGAGUAACACGUGGGUGACCUGCCCUCAGCUCUGGGAUAACGCCUGGGAAACUGGGUCUAAUACUGGAUAUGACCUUUCCUCGCAUGGGGUUGGGUGGAAAGUUUUUUCGGCUGGGGAUGGGCCCGCGGCCUAUCAGCUUGUUGGUGGGGUGAUGGCCUACCAAGGCGAC
This 248-nucleotide ribosomal RNA is filed under the name uncultured bacterium. RNAcentral's name for it is "partial 16S ribosomal RNA". It matches the Rfam family "Bacterial small subunit ribosomal RNA", at positions 28 to 277 of the family's 1533-position model. The record is from RNAcentral.